UUCGAACCUGAGAAAAAAAUUUAAUUUUUUAAAUUUUUGUGAACAAUAUACUUCCUAACAUUAUCCACCUAAUCAAACACUAAAUAACAUAAGAUCCGUAAACCUAUCUAAAUUCCCUAUACUAACCACCUAAUCUAUCCUAAACUAAUCAAACUAGAGAGGAAUUAGAGAGACUUACCAUUGCUUCGAAUUAGGGAGGAAGUGGAGAGGAAAUGGAGAGGAAAGACAGAGCGAACUCGCUCGGGGUAUAUAUAAGAUUACUUGUCCUCGUAAUUUCCUCGUAAAUUUACGAGGAAUUACAGAGGCCCGCGUUUUUAUUUACGAGGAAAUAGCGACGAAAUACAAAGGCCCGCGUUUUCGUUAACGACGUUUUUACGACGAGUUGGGUUACGUGGAAUUAACGAGUUAACCUGUUACGAGGAAUUAGCGAGCAUAUAUUUUCUAUAAAUACCCACAACUUUCCUUCUCAAACCACACACAAACUCACAAAACACACCCUAUCUCAAAUCACACACCUCACCAAAAAACUUUUCAAAUUAGAAAUAUUUGAAAA
RNAcentral lists this long non-coding RNA (553 nucleotides) under Brassica napus (rape). RNAcentral describes it as "long non-coding RNA (BNAP_LNC008254)". Lineage: Eukaryota; Viridiplantae; Streptophyta; Magnoliopsida; Brassicales; Brassicaceae. The record is from RNAcentral.